GACGAACGCUGGCGGCGUGCUUAACACAUGCAAGUCGAACGGAAAGGCCCUGCUUUUGUGGGGUGCUCGAGUGGCGCGCGGGUGAGUAACACGUGAGUAACCUGCCCUUGACUUUGGGGUAACUUCAGGAAACUGGGGCUAAUACCGGAUAGGAGAUCCUGCUGCGUGUUGGUGGUUGGAGAGUUUCGGCGGUUGGGGAUGGACUCGCGGCUUAUCCGCUUGUUGGUGUGGUAGUGGAUUUCCAAGGCUUUGACGGGUAGCCGGCCUGAGAGGGUGACCGGCCACAUUGGGACUGAGAGACGGCGCAGACUCCUACGUGAGGCAGCAGGGGGGAGUAUUGCACAAUGGGCGGAAGCCUGAUGCAGCAACGCUGCGUGCGGGAUGACGGCCUUCGGGUGGUAAACCGCUGUCGCCUGUGACGAAGCGUGAGUGACGGUAAUGGGUAAAGAAGCACCGGCUAACUACGUG
This 468-nucleotide ribosomal RNA is filed under the name uncultured bacterium. RNAcentral describes it as "partial 16S ribosomal RNA". It matches the Rfam family "Bacterial small subunit ribosomal RNA", at positions 28 to 507 of the family's 1533-position model. The record is from RNAcentral.